AGAUUGAACGCUGGCGGCAGGCCUAACACAUGCAAGUCGAGCGGUAGAGAGGUGCUUGCAUCUCUUGAGAGCGGCGGACGGGUGAGUAAUGCCUAGGAAUCUGCCUAGUGGUGGGGGAUAACGUUCGGAAACGGACGCUAAUACCGCAUACGUCCUACGGGAGAAAGCGGGGGACCUUCGGGCCUCGCGCCAUUAGAUGAGCCUAGGUCGGAUUAGCUAGUUGGUGAGGUAAUGGCUCACCAAGGCGACGAUCCGUAACUGGUCUGAGAGGAUGAUCAGUCACACUGGAACUGAGACACGGUCCAGACUCCUACGGGAGGCAGCAGUGGGGAAUAUUGGACAAGUGGGACGAAAGCCUGAUCCAGCCAUCGCCGCGUGUGUAGAAGAAGGUCUUCGGAUUGGAAGGCUAACGUUUAAGGUU
Molecule: ribosomal RNA, 421 nt
Filed under: uncultured soil bacterium
Lineage: Bacteria
Description: bacterial SSU rRNA
Rfam family: Bacterial small subunit ribosomal RNA
Source: RNAcentral